This 216-nucleotide ribosomal RNA is filed under the name Glomeromycotina sp. RNAcentral's name for it is "partial small subunit ribosomal RNA". The stretch from base 40 to 216 matches the Rfam family "Eukaryotic small subunit ribosomal RNA", at positions 686 to 864 of the family's 1831-position model. Lineage: Eukaryota; Fungi; Glomeromycota. The record is from RNAcentral.
GGGUCAGUAGGGUCGUCGUGCCACCGGUACGUACUGGUCUCACUGAUUCCUCCUUCCUGAAGAACCGUAAUGCCAUUAAUUUGGUGUUGCGGGGAAACAGGACUGUUACUUGGAAAAAAUUAGAGUGUUUAAAGCAAGCUAACGCUUGAAUACAUUAGCAUGGAAUAAUGAAAUAGGACGAUCGAUCCUAUUUUGUUGGUUUCUAGGAUUGACGUA